This 241-nucleotide unclassified non-coding RNA is filed under the name uncultured fungus. RNAcentral describes it as "sequence contains ITS2". The record is from RNAcentral. Lineage: Eukaryota; Fungi.
AACGCACAUUGCGCCCUUUGGUAUUCCGAGGGGCAUGCCUGUUCGAGCGUCAUUAUAACCAAUCAAGCCUGGCUUGGUGUUGGGGUGCGCAUUUCUGCGGCCCCCGAAAUCAGUGGCAGUGCCUAUUUGGCUUCUAAGCGUAGUAAUUUCUCCUCGCUAUAGGGUUCUUGUAGAUGUCGCCAAAAUCCCCCAACUAUUUACGGUUGACCUCGGAUCAGGUAGGGAUACCCGCUGAACUUAA